Ictidomys tridecemlineatus (thirteen-lined ground squirrel) is the source of this 1615-nucleotide long non-coding RNA. Lineage: Eukaryota; Metazoa; Chordata; Mammalia; Rodentia; Sciuridae. The record is from Ensembl.
GGUGUGAGAGAAUUUCACAGGAAGCACCCUCCGGCAGGGCGUGGAGAGGGGCAGAACCAGAGGCCGGUCACGUGCUCUCCGCUCCCGCUGGAACCUCUUUCUACCCCCAGCAGGGCCUGCUGACAUCCUGGGUCUCCUGCCAGCUGCAGCUCAGAGGUCCAGAGCCAGCAUCAUGAAGUGGCUGCAUCUCCAGCUGCUGUUGCUCCUCGGCGGGGUGGUCCUCCCAGUGUCGGGAAAAUUGAAAGACAGAGUUCACUUUGAAAUUGAAUUUCUGGAUUACCGUAGUUUUAUCAAGGCCAAAAUUAAAAUCCUGUCCCAAGACCCCUACUACCACACAGUGUGGGACCCCCUGCAAGAUACACCUGGAGUGUCCUAUGGACCAUCUUUGCUGCGUGGCCGUCUGCGGAAAAGUCUGCAUGAAGGUUGAAGACAUGGAGAACGAGAAUCUGGGAUAGAAGAUCAGCAGCAUGGUUUAGGGCUGAACGUGAAGGGCGGAGCCUUAAACCACAGUGAGAACUGGAGGGAACCCGGGGAGUCUGGGAAGAGGACUGAGCGACCCACUGUGGGACCAUCUCCCUGCCCCAGUUGUGGGUGGGGAAAUGGGCCCAAGGGCCACGUGUCUCCGGUCUGCCAACACUUUUCCUGGAGCUGAUACUUCAGCAGUCUUCCGUCCUUUCCUCAUAAGUUGCUGUGUCACCUGGAACUUCUGUUUCUUUUUCUGUCCCCCAGACCUGCUCUCACUCCACCUUUUUUCCAGGCCCCCAGCCCUGCCUCCUGGUCUGGCUCUCCCUAUCUUCCCCCCUUUAGAGGCUUGGUCUUCUUAGCUGGGACUCCUGGACUGACUGUCCUCUGGGCACUGGCUAACACCCCUGGGAGUUCUGCCUGUGGGGAAGGCUCUUCAGUUCCUGGGGUUCUCCACCUCCCAUUGUCUCAGGCCUGGGAUUCCAGCAGACCUCCACAAGCUACUUCCCCUUUAACUAAUCCAUGGAGAUAAAAUCUUACCCAAUGGGUUACUAUUAUUUGUUCAGUCAUUUGGAGUUUUCAGGGUUUUUUUUUUUUUCAAAUAUAAGUGCUAUUAUAAUAAACAACCUCCUGAGGCCUAACACGUGCCACUUUGUGGCAAGAGCCACCUUACAGGAGUGGAGGGGUCCCCCCCAGGAAGGGUUAAGCCAUGUGAUCCAAACAGUGGAGACCAGGGAGUAGGUGACAAGAAGACCUGACCGAGUCCGCCUCAUGGUGGGAACAAACCCUGGCCACUCUGCCACUGUGACCUCUUUUAAAACGGACACUCCUUUUCCCUUUGCCUUCUCCUCCUGCCCUCACCAUGACGGGAGCAAGACCAACUUCUUCCCAUCCUAGGCCAAGUCCCUGUCCUUGCGCUCACACGCCCCAGGAACGAAGGGAUCCGACUUCAGGACUGAAGCCAGAAGACCUGGGGCCUGGCUGGCUCGCUCUCGAGGCUACAAGUGAAUGAUGACCCCUGACAGGGCACAUCUGGAAUGUCGCCUCCUGAGUCACCUCUUUAAAGUCACAGCCUCUGGGACCGGAGUCCCCUGCUUCUCCUCUGCUAGCAAAGCAAUAAAGCUUCUUUUCUCUUUUCCUUGAAACCUUGUCC